This 279-nucleotide ribosomal RNA is filed under the name uncultured Staphylococcus sp. RNAcentral's name for it is "partial 16S ribosomal RNA". It matches the Rfam family "Bacterial small subunit ribosomal RNA", at positions 83 to 355 of the family's 1533-position model. Lineage: Bacteria; Bacillati; Bacillota; Bacilli; Caryophanales; Staphylococcaceae. The record is from RNAcentral.
CCUUUGACGUUAGCGGCGGACGGGUGAGUAACACGUGGGUAACCUACCUAUAAGACUGGGAUAACUUCGGGAAACCGGAGCUAAUACCGGAUAAUAUUUCGAACCGCAUGGUUCGAUAGUGAAAGGUGGUUUUGCUAUCACUUAUAGAUGGACCCGCGCCGUAUUAGCUAGUUGGUAAGGUAACGGCUUACCAAGGCUACGAUACGUAGCCGACCUGAGAGGGUGAUCGGCCACACUGGAACUGAGACACGGUCCAGACUCCUACGGGAGGCAGCAGCA